CGGAGGUGCAAGCGUUAAUCGGAAUUACUGGGCGUAAAGCGCACGCAGGCGGUUGUUAAGUCAGAUGUGAAAUCCCGCGCUUAACGUGGGAACUGCAUUUGAAACUGGCAAGCUAGAGUCUUGUAGAGGGGGUAGGAAUUCCAGGUGUAGCGGUGAAAUGCGUAGAGAUCUGGAGGAAUACCGGUGGCGAAGGCGGCCCCUGGACAAAGACUGACGCUCAGGUGCGAAAGCGUGGGGAGCAAACAGGAUU
This 250-nucleotide ribosomal RNA is filed under the name uncultured bacterium. RNAcentral's name for it is "partial 16S ribosomal RNA". It matches the Rfam family "Bacterial small subunit ribosomal RNA", at positions 527 to 779 of the family's 1533-position model. The record is from RNAcentral.